AGUCGUAGGUGAACCUGCGGAAGGAUCAUUAACACGUAUCCCAACGUUAAACAACCCUGUGAACGUUCAGCGUGUUCUUGCAGGACAUCAAAACAGCAAUCCCGAGUAAGGCGCUAAAGAAUUCCAGAUUUUGAUUUUGGGAAGUUUUGUGUGUAACGUGGACGCUGCAAUUGCACCCUGGUACCCUAGAGCACUCCCCUGUCUGAAAGCGGCAGGGAUCAAUGUUAGUCAAAGGUCCACACGACCGGCGGCCGGGGUGGAGGCGAAAGCCCCUACGUCAUCCCUAUGGACCCUUCGGGACUUGGCGAAAGCUGACUCCGUCAUAAAUCGAACAACUGCUAACAAUGGAUAUCUUGGUUCUC
Molecule: unclassified non-coding RNA, 362 nt
Filed under: fungal sp.
Lineage: Eukaryota; Fungi
Description: partial internal transcribed spacer region
Source: RNAcentral